RNAcentral lists this ribosomal RNA (492 nucleotides) under uncultured bacterium. RNAcentral describes it as "partial 16S ribosomal RNA". It matches the Rfam family "Bacterial small subunit ribosomal RNA", at positions 29 to 507 of the family's 1533-position model. The record is from RNAcentral.
AGUGAACGCUGGCGGUAGGCCUAACACAUGCAAGUCGAACGGCAGCACAGUAAGAGCUUGCUCUUACGGGUGGCGAGUGGCGGACGGGUGAGGAAUACAUCGGAAUCUACUUUUUCGUGGGGGAUAACAUAGGGAAACUUACGCUAAUACCGCAUACGACCUACGGGUGAAAGCAGGGGAUCUUCGGACCUUGCGCGAUUGAAUGAGCCGAUGUCGGAUUAGCUAGUUGGCGGGGUAAAGGCCCACCAAGGCGACGAUCCGUAGCUGGUCUGAGAGGAUGAUCAGCCACACUGGAACUGAGACACGGUCCAGACUCCUACGGGAGGCAGCAGUGGGGAAUAUUGGACAAUGGGCGCAAGCCUGAUCCAGCCAUACCGCGUGGGUGAAGAAGGCCUUCGGGUUGUAAAGCCCUUUUGUUAGGAAAGAAAAGCAGCAGGUUAAUACCCCGCUGUUCUGACGGUACCCAAAGAAUAAGCACCGGCUAACUUCGUG